UACGGAGGGUGCGAGCGUUAAUCGGAAUUACUGGGCGUAAAGCGCGCGUAGGCGGCUUUGUAAGUCGGAUGUGAAAUCCCCGGGCUUAACCUGGGAACUGCAUUCGAUACUGCAGAACUAGAGUAUGGUAGAGGGAAGUGGAAUUUCCGGUGUAGCGGUGAAAUGCGUAGAUAUCGGAAGGAACACCAGUGGCGAAGGCGACUUCCUGGGCCAAUACUGAACACUGAGGUGCGAAAAGCGGUGGGGAGCAAACACGGAUUAGAUACCGCGUAGUCC
This 276-nucleotide ribosomal RNA is filed under the name uncultured bacterium. Its description in RNAcentral is "partial 16S ribosomal RNA". It matches the Rfam family "Bacterial small subunit ribosomal RNA", at positions 524 to 796 of the family's 1533-position model. The record is from RNAcentral.